GCGGAUGUCAUGUGAGAAGUGGAACCAGUGUCCAUGUACCAAUUUGCAUCUGGAGGAUGGAUGCCGAGAGUAUGCAUUGCGGCCUCUAUAUCUGUUGGAGGUGGUGCUGCGGUGUAGGCUUGCGGAGGCCUGGGCCAAGUACACCAAGCUGUUGACGAAGCUGCUGUCCCAAGUUGGGCCUGGUCCAUGAAUUAGAAGGGUACGAACAAUGAGGUAUAGCCCACGGAGCCAUCCAUUGCCAAGGGUACGACUGUCCGCCAGACCAUGGGAAAUUGGCCGAAGCUUGCGGACUGGAAUGUUGUUGUCCACCACUGUUGCUAUUGCGGCCGCCUAUCUUACCUGCACCGCUGGUGCCACCCUUUUCGCCGCCACAACCACCAUUGUUGCUGCGAUAUUGACCGCCAGUAUUGUUGCGAAAGUGAGUCCUCUUCCCACC
This 436-nucleotide long non-coding RNA is filed under the name Vigna radiata. RNAcentral's name for it is "long non-coding RNA (VRAD_LNC018434)". The record is from RNAcentral. Lineage: Eukaryota; Viridiplantae; Streptophyta; Magnoliopsida; Fabales; Fabaceae.